CCCAAAGUGCUGGGAUUACAGGCGUGAGCCACGGCGCCCGGCCUGACAUUUCUAAUAGUGCAUGUAUUAAGAUGAAGAAGGAGGAGGAUUGGAGAACUGAGUAAAGGAAGAGGAGGACGAAGAAAGAAAAAGAAACCGAGGGACCAUUUUAAAUAAAAGAUAAAUCAAGAGAAAACUGUCUUACCAGAUUGCAUUCCCCAAAGUGAGGGCAGUCCAGAGUGGCACACCAAAGUAUUUCUGAUGCCAGAACUUCACCAUCAGAGACAGCAGUCCUCUUCCCUGGCCUGGACAAGAUCCCCAAGAUGGUUGAGUUUGCUGGGGAAAAAAACAAAAAUCCUUUUAAGACUGUGGGAAGAAAUGCUGCCACUGCCACCUGGGAUGAUACCUGGAGAAAAAAAAGGUUUCUAUGGUUUUGGAUCUAUGAAGGGGGCUUCCAGGAGAUGAUGAUGUUAAAGUAUUUACAAAAAUAUCUUGAAAACAGAGCCACUGAAGCAAGAAAGUAUGAAAGCAAUUUUCUAAAACUGUGAACAGAAGUACAUCUAUAAUUAUAGGCAUGUAAACUUGGAGCCCAUUGGAGAAUGUAAACACAUUCUUUUUAUCAAAAAUGUUACAAUGAUAAUGAAGAACAUUUAAUAAGAAAAGUAAGAAAAAAUAAUCCAUAUAUUGUGAAAUCAAUUAGUUUUAUUUUUCUGUAUUUAUUUUCCAUAUGUACUUUUGGUUGAAGCAUUUGGUGGUCAAUUUUUAUUUGUUUGUUUUGAACCUGCACAGAAGAGUUUUCUAGAUGUUUAUAUGACCUAUCAGUAUCAUCUGACAUAAUUGAUCAUUCUCUCGGCCUUGAUAUUCUUUCUUUGGCAUGCAAGUCACCAGCCUUUUUGUUUUUUCUCCUGUUCACAGCUUAUGGUCAGUAUCCUUAGUUGGUUCCCAAAUUUCUCCCUAACACUUCAAGCUGUAGAAACCCAGAGCUUAGUGUCUGCUAUCUUGUGCAUAUUAUCUUCACUUUUCUAUUGAGCUAAUUGACUAUUCUAUAAUAAAAUACCAUUAGUAUCUUGAAAACCUCUUCAGUAUAUAUCUCAGCUCCUCUUAAAUGUCAAAGUCAUAUACUAAAUUGCAUACUUGAUUUUGCACUUAGGUAUCUAACACAUAUUUCAAACAUAACUCAUUUAAAAUUUAACUCUUAAAUUUCCUCUUCAAAUCCUGCUCUACCCUCAACCUUCUCAGUUUAUCCAAUGGGAACUCAAUCUUUUAUUUGCUUCCAUCAAAAAGCUUGAGCUUAUUCUUGUUAUCUCUCUUUCUCUUCCAUACCAUGUCAAAUGUAUAAAAAACACACGGUGGCUCAUCUUUCAAAAGAAAUUGUUAUUUUGAUGUUUUAUCACUAACUUUUUAGCUAGUUUUCCAGCUUCCACCUUGACCACCUCCCACCACACACACACACACACGCACACACACACACACCAUUCUACUUUUUCUAUGGGGAUUUUCCUAUAUAAAUAUACUAUGGAAUUUUGUUCAUUAUUUAUUGUCUGUCUCUCUCUAUAUGUAAGUUCUAGUAUGACUGUUGUUUUGUUUUGUUUUAUUUGAUAAUGUAUGUGUAGGCCCUAGAACAUUGCCUGGCAUUUAGGUGUUCAAAAAUAAUUAUUUAACAAAUGAAUAUGGCAUGUGAUGGUUUUAUGAGGUAAGGCCCAGAAUCAAAGUAUAGAUCGCUUUUUGAUAUUUUUCUUUCCAAAUAUCACAAGCUAUCCAUUAAUAUACAAGACAUUUUGUUUUUGCCUCAGGAAAAAGAAAAAAGUAUUUUGUGAAAGGUAGUGAUAAAUAAGGAUGGUAUGGCUUUUGUACUAAUUUAUGCUGAGAUAAAGGGAUUUGACAUUUACUACUUCCAUAAAAAGAAUUUCUCCCUUUUUUAUUUUUAAUUUCGGUGGGUACAUAGUAGGUGUAUAUAUUUAUAGGGUAUAUGAGAUGUUUUGAUGCAGCAUAAGAUGCAUAAUAAUCACAUCACGGUAAAGGGGUAUCCAUCACCUCAAGCAUUUCUCCUUUGUGUUCCAAAGAUAUAAUUAUAAAUUUAGUUAUAUUAAAAUUUUCAAUAAAUUAUAUUUGACUGACUGUAGUCAUCUUGUUGUAUUAUUAACUACUAGACUUUAUUCAUUUCAUCUGUUUUGUACCCAUUAACCAUCCCCACUGCCCCCAGCUCAACUACCCUUCCCUGCCUCUGAUAAUUAUCAUUCUACUCUCUAUCUCCUUGAGUUCAACUGUUUCAAUGUUUGCCCCUACAAAUAAGUGAGAGCAUGCAGUUUGUCUUUCUGUGCCUGGCUUAUUGUGCUUAACAUAAUGACCUACAGUUUCAUCCAUGUUGUUGCAAAUGAUAAGAUCUCAGUCUUUUUAUGGUUGAAUAGUACCCCAUUGUGUAUAUGUACCACAUUUUCUUUAUCCAUUCAUCUGCUGAAGAACACUUAAGUUGCUUCCAAAGCUUGGCUGUUGUGAAUAGUUCUGCAAUAAACAUGAGAGUGCAGGUAUCUCUUUCAUAUGCUGAUUUCCUUUAUUUGGGGUAUAUACCUAGCAGUGGAAUUGCUGGAUCAUAUGGUAGUUCUAUUUUUUGUUUGUUUUUUGAGGAACCUCCAAACUGUUCUCUAUAAUGGUCAUGUUAAUUUCCAUUUCAGCGAACACUGUACAAGGUUUCCCUUUUCUCCAUAUCCUUACCAGCAUUCAUUAUUGCCUGUCUUUUGGAUAAAAGCCACUUGAACUAGAAUAUGAUAAUAUCUCAUUGUAGUUUUAAUUUGCAUUUCUCUGAUGAUGAAUGAUGGUGAGCACCUUUUUAUAUGUGUUUGCCAUUUGUAUGUCUUAUUUUGAGAAAUGUCCAUUCAGAUCUUUUGCCCACUUUUUAUUCAGAUUAUUAGAUUUUUUUUCUAUAGAGUUGUUUGAGCUCUUUAUAUAUUCUGAUUGUUAAUCACAUGUCAGAUGACUAGUUUGCAAAUAUUUUUUCCCAUUCUGUGGGUUGUCUCUUCACUUUAUUGAUUGCUUCCUUUGCUGUGAAGAAGCUUUUUAACUUGAUGUGAUUCCAUUUGUCUAAAGUAGCUUUGGUUACUUGUGAUUGUGGGGCAUUACUCAAUAAAUCUUGUCUCAGACUAAUGUCCUGGAGAGUUUCUCCAAUGUUUUCUUUUAGUCCUUUGACUAAAAGAUUAAAGUUGAGGUCUUAGAUUUAAGUCUUUAAUCCAUUUUGAUUGGUUUUGCAUACUGUGAGAGAUAGGGGAACAAUUUCUUUAUUCAUGUGGAUAUCUGGUUGUCCCUGCAUCAUUUAUUGAAGAGACUUUUCUUUAUCCAGGGUAUGUUUUUAGCACCUUUGUUAAAAAUGAGUUCACUGUGGAUAUAUAAAUUUAUUUCUGUGUUCUUAGUUGUGUUCCAUUGCUCUGUGUGUCUGUUUUUAAUGCCAGUGUCAUCCUGUUUUGAUUACUAUAGUUCUCUAGCAUAAUUUGAAGUCAGGUAGCAUGAUUCCUCAGUUUUGUUAUUUGCUAAGGAUAGCUUUUGCUACUCUGGGCCUCAUUUGGUUCCAUAUAAAUUUUUGGAUUAUUUUUUCUAUUUCUGUGAAGAAUGUCAUGGUAUUUUGACAGGGAUUAUAGUCAGUCUGUUGAUUGCUUUGCAUAGUAAGGACAUUUUAACCAUAUUGAUUCUUCCAAUCUACUAACAUAGAAUAUCUUUCCAUAUUUUUGUGUCCUCUUCAAUUUUUUGCUUUAAUAUU
This 3727-nucleotide long non-coding RNA is filed under the name Homo sapiens (human). RNAcentral describes it as "HSALNT0362341". The record is from RNAcentral. Lineage: Eukaryota; Metazoa; Chordata; Mammalia; Primates; Hominidae.